Malurus melanocephalus (red-backed fairy wren) is the source of this 2583-nucleotide long non-coding RNA. RefSeq lists it as uncharacterized. The record is from RefSeq and is a predicted model, not a curated record. Lineage: Eukaryota; Metazoa; Chordata; Aves; Passeriformes; Maluridae. The transcript is spliced from 3 exons.
UCCUUCCACUGGGCCUGGAAUAAAAGCAGAGAUUUAAAGAACUGGAGAUUAAUACCAUACACAGURUAAAAGGGGAAGGCUUUGACUGAGGGAUAUGGACAGUGUGUUAUUUGCAUAUCUGUAAAAAUCUUCUGAGCACUGGGAGUGUUUAUAAUGAGACCAAAGGGAGAAUGAAGAAUYCAGUACUUAAUACAGACACCUGCCACUUGCAAAAUAUCUCCACCACUAGAAACAAAUGCCUGUGAGAGUUUGGGAGAUUUUGGUCACUGAUUUGUUCCUCCUUUGUUUCCAUUUCARUCACUGGUCCAUCUGUCCAGUGAGAGCCCUGACAUUGAUAAAUGUCACGAAGUGAAGUUGCCGGAGUUGCUCCAUGUGCUGGUUCCAGAGCGGGGUUUACGGCGCACACCAGCCUGGGAAGGCAGCAGAGGGACACAGGAUGGGGAGGGAGAUGCAGAUUUUCUGAUGACCUUUCCAAACAAUAGUUGGGAACCUGGCUCUGAUUCCAACCUAAAUCCAUCAAUGGCAUCUCUUACUAAUCUUCCACCACUGCACCCCUUUGCCUUCAGAGUUCUUCACUCUUUAGACAGAGACACAGAGCUGCAGCAUACUCUMAGUUAUAGCACUACCAAGCAACCCAGGGAUUUCUGCCAACUUGGAAACAAGAUAUGAACUAAAGGGUUUCUAUUUUUGCAUUAAAAUGGAAACAGGUGGGAAGGAUGCGUGGAAUUUAUCAAACCAAAUAAAAUUUUUUUUCAUGUUAAAAUUCGUAUGGAAUGGAAAUUGCACUCUUCCAGUGUUACUGCAGAGCAGCAAUAUUGGGUUUCUCCUUACUCAGCCUUUAGCAGUAAGGAACCAGCUGCAGUGGAGCUGGAGUUCUGGAAUUUGCUUUCUAACCCCAUCUAAAUCUCUCCUAGGUCUGCCCUAUUUUGAAUUAUUGCUCCACCUGGCACAGGGGAUGUUAUUGACUCUGGAAAGAAGAGUCAAGUCUUGCAACAGUUUUUUUAUAGAUUGCUAACUGGAGAGUAAGAACAGGAACGAACUGCUGGAUGGCAGAAAUGAGUGRUUUUCCCUAUUCCURCCUAAUUUAUGGCAGUGAACCUCCRCUCCCACACUGAGUUAGGUGCUUUGGCUCAGCUCAGGUAUUUGCUGUGUGUUAGCACAGAACCAGUGGGUGGUGGAGAGACCAGAGCCACACCAAAGCUCUGCCUUUUGAAUCAAACCUCUCCCACCCCCUUCCUAUCUCCACAUCGGAACAAAACCUGAGGGAAGUGCCCCAGCUGAGGUGGAGCAUGUUCCUAAGAGGAUUUACUAAAGUAAAAACCACAUCCAAAAUAUAUUUUUUUAAUUAUGACACAGUAUAAAUGGGACAGACUUUACCAAAACACUGGGUUAUUCAUUGCCCAGAGGGUAGGAGAAGCUGCAGCACUGGUUGGACAAAUAAGUAACAAAAUGGAUGGACAGACAAUCUAACAGACUCCUGACUGCCUUCACUUACCCUUAAUUAAUUGUUUCCAGUAAAUAGCCCUGGCUCUGUCAUUAUUUUAGGAAAACAGAAAACAUUGAUAGAAGUACUACAAAUGUUGCCAUCAGCCCUGCCAUAGAUCUCAUUCAUCUGAAAUCCCACUGGAAUGAAACAGAUUGUCCAACUGCAUCAGUUCAGCUCAGSAAAGAGCCUGUAACCAUGGCCAUGAACUGUUCCAGUCAAAUGUCCUGCAUGGCCCAUUCCAUGGGACUCCCARCAUCUGCAGGGUUCCAUGCCACAGGCACCAGGGCAGCCUGCCAYCCUGGCAGUGAGCUGUGGGUCUAAAUGAACAUAAAAAGGGAUUCAAACACUUCUCCUGAUGUCAAAUUGAAUUUUAAUUUGACUUAAGGACAGCUUUCUGUUAUGUUAAGGUUUAGAGGAUUGACUAGUAAUGUUAUAUAUAUAAUUUAAUUUUUAAACCAUUUUAUGCUUCCCAGUGUUUCUUGGUUUGCAACAGAAUCUGAAAUGCAAAGAGCAAACUGCAGAAGUUGUGUGGCUGCAAGGUCUUUGAACUCCRUGACACCAGGAGGAGAUGAAAAGCUCCCAAGACAGGCUGUUCUCCUGAGGCUCUCAUCCCAAUUUCCAGGAACUGAGGCAGGUCAAAUGCAUUCAGGGGGAUGGACUGAGGGAGGAAAUAUUCAGGUACCAUUCAACUAUGYAACCAAACCAUUUGAGGUUUGCCUGUCACUUGUCUAGACACAUGUUUCAAAAGGSAAUCAAAUAAAAGGAAGAAAAAUACCCUGUCUGGGAAUUCUUACCCGGUGACUUGUGCAGCCCAAGAGCUGGGUAAUUCUCCUCAACUGAAUAAACAUCGAAGGGAGUCUGAGAGCAAUUUGGCUCCAGAGCAAAUAUUGUUCCUGAAUUCUUUGCACCUGCAAUGGGCAGGGAAAUUAUAAUAGACCCUCCCCACGUCUUCCCAUCCCAGACCUUGGAAAGCAGCCAGGAAGCAUCUUACAUCUGCCACAGCAGAAAUGUGAGGGCUGGGCUUCAGAUGAGACCCCUAGUAAAAUCACAGCCCCAUCCCAAACCCACCUGUCUCCAAGGAAAGGAAAUGUGGGAGU